AGGACGAACGCUGGCGGCGUGCUUAACACAUGCAAGUCGAGCGGAAAGGCCUUUCGGGGUACUCGAGCGGCGAACGGGUGAGUAACACGUGAGUAAUCUGCCCAUCGCUUCAGGAUAGCCAUCGGAAACGGUGAUUAAUACUGGAUAUGACAUUCCUUCGCAUGUUGGGGUGUGGAAAGUUUUUUCGGCGGUGGAUGUGCUCGCGGCCUAUCAGCUUGUUGGUGGGGUAAUGGCCUACCAAGGCUUUGACGGGUAGCCGGCCUGAGAGGGUGACCGGCCACACUGGGACUGAGACACGGCCCAGACUCCUACGGGAGGCAGCAGUGGGGAAUAUUGGACAAGUGGGCGGAAGCCUGAUCCAGCAACGCCGCGUGAGGAUGACGGCCUUCGGGUUGUAAACCUCGUUUCAGCACAGACGAAGUUUUGUCGUUUUUUGGUGUAAGUGACGGUAUGUGCAGAAGAAGGACCGG
RNAcentral lists this ribosomal RNA (470 nucleotides) under uncultured soil bacterium. RNAcentral describes it as "bacterial SSU rRNA". It matches the Rfam family "Bacterial small subunit ribosomal RNA", at positions 26 to 496 of the family's 1533-position model. The record is from RNAcentral.